This 762-nucleotide ribosomal RNA is filed under the name uncultured bacterium. RNAcentral describes it as "bacterial SSU rRNA". It matches the Rfam family "Bacterial small subunit ribosomal RNA", at positions 635 to 1397 of the family's 1533-position model. The record is from RNAcentral.
GGCAGGCUAGAGUCUUGUAGAGGGGGGUAGAAUUUCAGGUGUAGCGGUGAAAUGCGUGGAGAUCUGAAGGAAUACCAGUGGCGAAGGCGGCCCCCUGGACAAAGACUGACGCUCAGAUGCGAAAGCGUGGGUAGCAAACAGGAUUAGAUACCCUGGUAGUCCACGCCGUAAACGCUGUCUACUUGGAGGUUGAGGUUUAGACUUUGGCUUUCGGCGCUAACGCAUUAAGUAGACCGCCUGGGGAGUACGGCCGCAAGGUUAAAACUCAAAUGAAUUGACGGGGGCCCGCACAAGCGGUGGAGCAUGUGGUUUAAUUCGAUGCAACGCGAAGAACCUUACCUACUCUUGACAUCCAGCGAAUCCUUUAGAGAUAGAGGAGUGCCUUCGGGAGCGCUGAGACAGGUGCUGCAUGGCUGUCGUCAGCUCGUGUUGUGAAAUGUUGGGUUAAGUCCCGCAACGAGCGCAACCCUUAUCCUUGUUUGCCAGCACAUAAUGGUGGGAACUCCAGGGAGACUGCCGGUGAUAGACCGGAGGAAGGUGGGGACGACGUCAAGUCAUCAUGGCCCUUACGAGUAGGGCUACACACGUGCUACAAUGGCAGAUACAGAGGGCAGCGAAGCUGCGAAGUGGAGCGAAUCCCUUAAAGUUUGUCGUAGUCCGGAUUGGAGUCUGCAACUCGACUCCAUGAAGUCGGAAUCGCUAGUAAUCGUGGAUCAGAAUGCCACGGUGAAUACGUUCCCGGGCCUUGUACACACCGCCCGU